CAAUAAGAUCUUCUCCAGACUGAACAACCCCAGUUCCCUCAGCCACUCCCCAUUAGACUUGUGAUCCGGCUUCAUUGCCUUUCUCCGGACACACUCCAUUGCCUUUCACAUAGAGAGGAGCCCAAACCUGAGCACAGCCCUGAGGUGCGGCCUAAACUCUCACAGCCCACCAGCAACUUCUGGCAGUCCCACAAAGAUUGUGAAACCGCAAGUGAAGCUCCCCUAUCUGAAAGCAAAGAGCGAAUGAGCUGAGUUUAUUGAAAGAUUCCACGAGCAGAGCGGAGCCACACGGAGCGCCUCGUACCUACCGCUAAACGGGCGCCAGGCACCGAGAGAGGCCGGGGCCGGCCGGGUCCCAUCGGCGGGGUCACCGCUCGGCCGAGCCCUACGGCGGGACAUGGCUGAGGGAUCCCUCAACCCCACGGCCGGCAGGACGAGGAGAGCGGGGCCUUCUUUGUGACGGAGGAGGAGCAGAACGAAACGCUUCUCCCCUCCGUUCAGCCCCUCGGGAGCGCGCACAACGCGGCCAAGCAAAGCGGGGAGGGGAGGGAGGGGAAAUAAAAAUGUCGGCGGGUGAAA
This is a non-coding RNA of Coturnix japonica (Japanese quail), 579 nucleotides long. Lineage: Eukaryota; Metazoa; Chordata; Aves; Galliformes; Phasianidae. The record is from RefSeq and is a predicted model, not a curated record.